This 492-nucleotide ribosomal RNA is filed under the name uncultured bacterium. RNAcentral describes it as "partial 16S ribosomal RNA". It matches the Rfam family "Bacterial small subunit ribosomal RNA", at positions 29 to 507 of the family's 1533-position model. The record is from RNAcentral.
AGUGAACGCUGGCGGUAGGCCUAACACAUGCAAGUCGAACGGCAGCACAGUAAGAGCUUGCUCUUACGGGUGGCGAGUGGCGGACGGGUGAGGAAUACAUCGGAAUCUACUUUUUCGUGGGGGAUAACGUAGGGAAACUUACGCUAAUACCGCAUACGACCUACGGGUGAAAGCAGGGGAUCUUCGGACCUUGCGCGAUUGAAUGAGCCGAUGUCGGAUUAGCUAGUUGGCGGGGUAAAGGCCCACCAAGGCGACGAUCCGUAGCUGGUCUGAGAGGAUGAUCAGCCACACUGGAACUGAGAAACGGUCCAGACUCCUACGGGAGGCAGCAGUGGGGAAUAUUGGACAAUGGGCGCAAGCCUGAUCCAGCCAUACCGCGUAGGUGAAGAAGGCCUUCGGGUUGUAAAGCCCUUUUGUUGGGAAAGAAAAGCAGCAGGUUAAUACCCCGCUGUUCUGACGGUACCCAAAGAAUAAGCACCGGCUAACUUCGUG